ACAAGCGGUGGAGCAUGUGGUUAAUUCGAAGCAACGCGUAAAACCUUACCUACCCUUGACAUGUCUGGAACCUUGGUGAGAGCCGAGGUGCCUUCGGAGCCAGAACACAGGUGCUGCAUGGCUGUCGUCAGCUCGUGUCGUGAGAUGUUGGGUUAAGUCCCGCAACGAGCGCAACCCUUGUCAUUAGUUGCCAUCAUUUAGUUGGGCACUCUAAUGAGACUGCCGGUGACAAACCCGGAGGAAGGUGGGGAUGACGUCAAGUCCUCAUGGCCCUUAUGGGUAGGGCUUCACACGUCAUACAAUGGUCGGUACAGAGGGUUGCCAAGCCGCGAGGUGGAGCCAAUCCCUUAAAGCCGAUCGUAGUCCGGAUCGUAGUCUGCAACUCGACUACGUGAAGUCGGAAUCGCUGGUAAUCGCAGAUCAGCAUGCUGCGGUGAAUACGUUCCCGGGUCUU
RNAcentral lists this ribosomal RNA (454 nucleotides) under uncultured Thauera sp. Its description in RNAcentral is "bacterial SSU rRNA". It matches the Rfam family "Bacterial small subunit ribosomal RNA", at positions 925 to 1382 of the family's 1533-position model. The record is from RNAcentral. Lineage: Bacteria; Pseudomonadati; Pseudomonadota; Betaproteobacteria; Rhodocyclales; Zoogloeaceae.